RNAcentral lists this long non-coding RNA (612 nucleotides) under Rosa chinensis. RNAcentral describes it as "sRNA RchiOBHm_Chr1g0344641". Lineage: Eukaryota; Viridiplantae; Streptophyta; Magnoliopsida; Rosales; Rosaceae. The record is from RNAcentral.
GAAGAGGCAGUCUUCGUAAACGGUGAAACACUAAAACGGCAUCAGUCCAUCAACCAAGAAGAAUCAAUAAAGGCUUUGCAUAUUUAGUUUACCAAAAAGUUAGUAGAAGCAUCAAGACUCAUACCCAUCUCCUCAUCUCCUGAGUCCUGACGUCUCUCAAAGAAAGAAGAAUCCUGCCCAUAUCCUUCUACAUACAAUUGUUUAAUCAAGGUCAACUUUCACUAACAAACUAUUGAUCUCGAAAGAAAGGUAUAUAUCUUUUUUACAGUUUCUUCAAUUUUUUCAUCAAUAGACUACAAAAGAUUGGCUUCCCUCUCGAAAACGGAAAAGUAAGUCUGAUUAGUAUUUGUUUGUGUUCAAGAUUUGUUGCUAAUUUUCUCAUUGCACAGAGGUUUAUUUUGUUAGGUUUCUUUUUGAAGGAUCUGUUUCACACUUCCAAGAAGAAGAAAUGCCAAGAUGAAAUUAGGUCCCUUUGAUCCAAAGAUAUGUUUUGAUUCGUAUUCAAAUUGUGUGCAAAGUGUUAAGACUUAAGAGCUGAUGAAAUUGAAGUCAAAGUAUUGCUUUGAAAGUAUUUUGGUUACCUUAAUUUAUCGGUGUAAGGAAUAUUUUGAU